This 950-nucleotide ribosomal RNA is filed under the name Microbacterium ginsengisoli. Its description in RNAcentral is "bacterial SSU rRNA". It matches the Rfam family "Bacterial small subunit ribosomal RNA", at positions 31 to 993 of the family's 1533-position model. The record is from RNAcentral. Lineage: Bacteria; Bacillati; Actinomycetota; Actinomycetes; Micrococcales; Microbacteriaceae.
GAAUCUUACAAACCUCAUUAACCGUGCAAGUCGAACGGUGAAGCAGAGCUUGCUCUGUGGAUCAGUGGCGAACGGGUGAGUAACACGUGAGCAACCUGCCCCAGACUCUGGGAUAACAGUUGGAAACAGCUGCUAAUACCGGAUACGAGACGUGAAGGCAUCUUCAACGUUUGGAAAGAAUUUCGGUCUGGGAUGGGCUCGCGGCCUAUCAGCUUGUUGGUGAGGUAAUGGCUCACCAAGGCGUCGACGGGUAGCCGGCCUGAGAGGGUGACCGGCCACACUGGGACUGAGACACGGCCCAGACUCCUACGGGAGGCAGCAGUGGGGAAUAUUGCACAAUGGGCGCAAGCCUGAUGCAGCAACGCCGCGUGAGGGAUGACGGCCUUCGGGUUGUAAACCUCUUUUAGCAGGGAAGAAGCGAAAGUGACGGUACCUGCAGAAAAAGCACCGGCUAACUACGUGCCAGCAGCCGCGGUAAUACGUAGGGUGCAAGCGUUAUCCGGAAUUAUUGGGCGUAAAGAGCUCGUAGGCGGUUUGUCGCGUCUGCUGUGAAAACCCGAGGCUCAACCUCGGGCCUGCAGUGGGUACGGGCAGACUAGAGUGCGGUAGGGGAGAUUGGAAUUCCUGGUGUAGCGGUGGAAUGCGCAGAUAUCAGGAGGAACACCGAUGGCGAAAGGCAGAUCUCUGGGCCGUAACUGACGCUGAGGAGCGAAAGGGUGGGGGAGCAAACAGGCUUAGAUACCCUGGUAGUCCACCCCGUAAACGUUGGGAACUAGUGUGGGGGUCCAUUCCACGGAUUCCGUGACGCAGCUAACGCAUUAAGUUUCCUCCGCCUGGGGGAGUACGGCCGGAAGGCUAAACUCAAAGGAUUGACGGGGAACUCGCACAGCCGGCGGAGCAUGCGGAAUAGCCGAUGCACGCGAAGACCCUGACGAGGGUGACGUGGGGGG